This 468-nucleotide ribosomal RNA is filed under the name uncultured bacterium. RNAcentral describes it as "partial 16S ribosomal RNA". It matches the Rfam family "Bacterial small subunit ribosomal RNA", at positions 28 to 523 of the family's 1533-position model. The record is from RNAcentral.
GAUGAACGCUGGCGGCGUGCCUAACACAUGCAAGUCGAGCGAUUCUCUUCGGAGAAGAGCGGCGGACGGGUGAGUAACGCGUGGGUAACCUGCCCUGUACACACGGAUAACAUACCGAAAGGUAUGCUAAUACGGGAUGAUAUGCUUUAGUCGCAUGGCUGAAGUAUCAAAGCUCCGGCGGUACAGGAUGGACCCGCGUCUGAUUAGCUAGUUGGUAAGGUAACGGCUUACCAAGGCGACGAUCAGUAGCCGACCUGAGAGGGUGAUCGGCCACAUUGGAACUGAGACACGGUCCAAACUCCUACGGGAGGCAGCAGUGGGGAAUAUUGCACAAUGGGCGAAAGCCUGAUGCAGCAACGCCGCGUGAGCGAUGAAGGCCUUCGGGUCGUAAAGCUCUGUCCUCAAGGAAGAUAAUGACGGUACCUGGAGAAUAAGCCCCGGCAAACUUCGUGCCAGCCGCCGCAGUAA